Molecule: ribosomal RNA, 440 nt
Filed under: uncultured bacterium
Lineage: Bacteria
Description: partial 16S ribosomal RNA
Rfam family: Bacterial small subunit ribosomal RNA
Source: RNAcentral
CUACGGGUCGCACCAGCAAGGAAUAUUGGGCAAUGGGCGAAAGCCUGACCCAGCGACACCGCGUGGAGGAAGAAGGCCUUCGGGUUGUAAACUCCUUUUCCCGGGGAAGAAUUUUGACGGUACCCGGGGAAUAAGUCUCGGCUAACUACGUGCCAGCAGCCGCGGUAAUACGUAGGAGGCGAGCGUUAUCCGGAUUUACUGGGCGUAAAGCGGGCGUAGGCGGCUUGCCAAGUCUGAUGUGAAAUCUCCCGGCUAAACUGGGAGGGUGCAUUAGAUACUGGUAGGCUAGAGUGCAGCAGAGGAAAGCGGAAUUCCCGGUGUAGUGGUGAAAUGCGUAGAUAUCGGGAAGAACACUAGUGGCGAAGGCGGCUUUCUGGGCUGUUACUGACGCUGAGGCCCGAAGGCGUGGGUAGCAAACAGGAUUAGAUACCCGAGUAGUC